GUUUUAUUUUAUCACGUCUCUCAGUCUGUGUCUCCCACUGGGCUGUGAACUCUACGGCAGAAGAACGACUCCUCAUUUGUUUGCUGGCUACCUGGAACCUCAGACAGGCCUGGCACUCAGAGUGCUCAAGAAAUAUUUUUGGGGGCCGACCCAGUGGUGCAGCAGUUAAGUGCUCACAUUCUGCUUCCCAGUGGCCCAGGGUUCACGGGUUCAGGUCCCGGGUGCGGACACGGCACCGCUUGGCACACCAUGCUGAGGUCUUAGGCCUGCUGGCUUUUGGACGGGGACUAUGCCGUCAGCUCUCCGGUUCCCAGGCCUUCGGACGUGGACUGGAACUACACCAUUGGCUUUUCUGUGUCUCCAGCUUACCAUCUGCAGGGCUGAGUGGCUUGGCAAGGACUCAGACUGAGAACUGGCUCCUACUUUAGACUGGCGCAGGCACUGAAGAGAUGAAGAAGCCAUCUGUGGCAGGGAAAUCUGGGAGCGGUGACAGGUGGAAAAGGCACAGUCUUGGGAGACUUGGGGACCGGUGAAAGGUGAAUGUCCAGAUAGCCAUGGUAACCAUCUGGCCUGCUGGACUGCUUCUUGAGUGCAGGACCAUGUCUGAUUCAAGUCUACAUCCAGAGCACAUAGAGCAAGUUCUGGGACAUAAAAUAAAAAAGAGUCGCUCAAGAGAGAAUCCAUCCAUCCAUCAGUUGAAUGCCUUCACAGUCCGUCAAAGAACUCUUGCUGACUGAUCAUGCUAUUGCUCUCUCUGCCAAUGGAAUUGCAACUGCUUCCUAGUCCCCUAAUCACCGUCUAUUCCUUAACCACCCCCUAUAGGACAGGACCACUAUUCUGGGAGGUCUUUCAGACUUAUCUAGAACGUGGCAUGUUUCCUGACAUCCAUACCAACAUUUAGGUCUGGGCUCUGCUUCUAACUCAUUGUCUGUGAUGGCACGUCUUUAGGUCUUGUAGCGCCGUUUUUAAAAAGGAACAGUUUUGCAAUAUGAUUUCUGAAGUCUCUUCUAACCCGAGUGUGCUAGAAUUUUCUGUCUGGAAUCUAGAAUUUCUGGUAAAGAUGAGACAGACUUAUUCGAGGCCUUCAUAUCGGCAUCAUAUGGCCUGUUGGUUGGAGCCUGGAUGAUGAGCCACUGUAGUCUGGGCUUUUCCUGAGGUCUGCCUUGCUGGUGGCAGAGUUUCUUUAACAGUCGUGCUCCAGCAGGCUCUGGCCACCCCCACGGGCAACUCAGUGAAUACUGGCUGCCUGAUGGAUGUGUUAGAUGGGAAGCCAACUGGAUGAAGGAUGCGUGAGGAGCCCUGGAAAACACAGUGGUUCAAAGGGGAGGGCUGCGCCGAGCAGGUUCCCAAAUGUGCUUACCCGCCCAGGCUCUGAACGCGAGCUCCGUUGGAAAAACACGUGUUUCUGACUCCAAGGGAAAGGCUCUAGGAAUAAUAAUAAUAAAAGGGGCUUUGAAAGCUUCUUGGAAAUCAGCUUCUAUAAAAUAGUGUUUUGAGAAAUUGAGCGCAAGUCAAGCAGAAACAUGGAUUGAAAUUCUCCCUUCGCAUACUCAUUCUUUUAAAAUAUUUUAUUUUUAAAUAUGAAAAUAAUCUGUGCAUAUGGCUAAAGAAUCCAAACAGUAAAGAAAAGCACAGAAUUCAAAGCAAAAAUCUCCCUUCCUUCCUCUCUUUUCAUGUCUCAUGAGGUAACAGUUUAUUUCUGUUUUGUGUGCGAUUACUAUGUGAGUUUAUAAAAAUUAAAAAAAAUUAUUGUGGUAAAAUAUGCAUAACAUAAAAUUUACCAUUUUAACCAUUUUUGAGUGUAUAUAGUUCAUUGGCAUUAAGUACAUUCACAUUGUUGUGCAACC
This is a long non-coding RNA of Equus caballus (horse), 1847 nucleotides long. The record is from Ensembl. NCBI's taxonomy places the organism in Eukaryota, Metazoa, Chordata, Mammalia, Perissodactyla, Equidae.